This 445-nucleotide ribosomal RNA is filed under the name uncultured bacterium. RNAcentral's name for it is "partial 16S ribosomal RNA". It matches the Rfam family "Bacterial small subunit ribosomal RNA", at positions 354 to 796 of the family's 1533-position model. The record is from RNAcentral.
GUGAGGAAUAUUGGACAAUGGGCGCAAGCCUGAUCCAGCCAUGCCACGUGCAGGAAGACGCAUCUAUGGUGUGUAAACUGCUUUUGUACGGGAAGAAACACUCCCUCGUGAGGGAGCUUGACGGUACCGUAAGAAUAAGGAUCGGCUAACUCCGUGCCAGCAGCCGCGGUAAUACGGAGGAUCCAAGCGUUAUCCGGAAUCAUUGGGUUUAAAGGGUCCGUAGGCGGUUUAAUAAGUCAGUGGUGAAAGCCCAUCGCUCAACGAUGGAACGGCCAUUGAUACUGUUAGACUUGAAUUACAAGGAAGUAACUAGAAUAUGUAGUGUAGCGGUGAAAUGCUUAGAUAUUACAUGGAAUACCAAUUGCGAAGGCAGGUUACUACUUGUGGAUUGACGCUGAUGGACGAAAGCGUGGGGAGCGAACAGGAUUAGAUACCCGAGUAGUCC